Molecule: long non-coding RNA, 335 nt
Organism: Pygocentrus nattereri (red-bellied piranha)
Lineage: Eukaryota; Metazoa; Chordata; Actinopteri; Characiformes; Serrasalmidae
Exons: 3
Source: RefSeq, a predicted model, not a curated record
GAUGGAUUCCGUUCAGCAGUCAAAGUACAGAGUACAGCAGAACUGUUGCGCAGUGCACUGGGGACACUGGGACUGUCAAAAAUAGUCAAUCAAGCAUGGAAGCUGUACAACAGGCAUCUGAAGGCUUUUUGGACUUGGACUAGAUCAGCAGAGAUUUAGGCUACACUUCUGUCAUGUCUAUCUGGCAAGGAAAUGGGCGUUGGGCAGCAGGACACUGGCUUUACUGAUAGUGAGUGCUGAUUGGUUGGUGAGCGGAGAAGCUCAAUGGCUGUUGGCGCUCACUGAUGUUAUGAAUGUACAUGAUGCAACGUAUUAAACUCCUAUGUUCAAAAGUG